UAAAAGCCGCCCAGUUCGGAUUGCAGGCUGCAACCCGCCUGUAUGAAGUUGGAAUCGCUAGUAAUCGCGGAUCAGCAUGCCGCGGUGAAUACGUUCCCGGGCCUUGUACACACCGCCCGUCACACCAUGAGAGUCGGGAACACCCGAAGUCCGUAGUCUAACUUUCACGAGAGGACGCGGCCGAAGGUGGGUUCGAUAAUUGGGGUGAAGUCGUAACAAGGUAGC
This 225-nucleotide ribosomal RNA is filed under the name uncultured bacterium. RNAcentral's name for it is "partial 16S ribosomal RNA". It matches the Rfam family "Bacterial small subunit ribosomal RNA", at positions 1277 to 1500 of the family's 1533-position model. The record is from RNAcentral.